AUACCUGGCGGAAUGCUUACCAUGCAGUCGAACGGCAGCACGGACUUCGGUCUGGUGGCGAGUGGCGAACGGGUGAGUAAUGCAUCGGAACGUGCCCAAUCGUGGGGGAUAACGUAGCGAAAGUUACGCUAAUACCGCAUACGAUCUAAGGAUGAAAGCGGGGGAUCGCAAGACCUCGCGCGAAUGGAGCGGCCGAUGUUAGAUUAGGUAGUUGGUGGGGUAAAGGCUCACCAAGCCGACGAUCUAUAGCUGGUCUGAGAGGAUGAUCAGCCACACUGGGACUGAGACACGGCCCAGACUCCUACGGGAGGCAGCAGUGGGGAAUUUUGGACAAUGGGCGCAAGCCUGAUCCAGCCAUUCCGCGUGCAGGAUGAAGGCCCUCGGGUUGUAAACUGCUUUUGUACAGAACGAAAAGCUCUGGGUUAAUACCCUGGGGUCAUGACGGUACUGUAAGAAUAAGCACCGGCUAACUACGUGCCAGCAGCCGCGGCAAUACGUAGGGUGCAAGCGUUAAUCGGAAUUACUGG
This 527-nucleotide ribosomal RNA is filed under the name uncultured Acidovorax sp. Its description in RNAcentral is "bacterial SSU rRNA". It matches the Rfam family "Bacterial small subunit ribosomal RNA", at positions 31 to 557 of the family's 1533-position model. Lineage: Bacteria; Pseudomonadati; Pseudomonadota; Betaproteobacteria; Burkholderiales; Comamonadaceae. The record is from RNAcentral.